GAUGAACGCUGGCGGCGUGCCUAAUACAUGCAAGUCGAGCGAACGGACGAGAAGCUUGCUUCUCUGAUGUUAGCGGCGGACGGGUGAGUAACACGUGGAUAACCUACCUAUAAGACUGGGAUAACUUCGGGAAACCGUAGCUAAUACCGGAUAAUAUUUUGAACCGCAUGGUUCAAAAGUGAAAGACGGUCUUGCUGUCACUUAUAGAUGGAUCCGCGCUGCAUUAGCUAGUUGGUAAGGUAACGGCUUACCAAGGCAACGAUGCAUAGCCGACCUGAGAGGGUGAUCGGCCACACUGGAACGGAGACACGGUCCAGACUCCUACGGGAGGCAGCAGUAGGGAAUCUUCCGCAAUGGGCGAAAGCCUGACGGAGCAACGCCGCGUGAGUGAUGAAGGUCUUCGGAUCGUAAAACUCUGUUAUUAGGGAAGAACAUAUGUGUGAGUAACUGUGCACAUCUUGACGGUACCUAAUCAGAAAGCCACGGCUAACUACGUG
Molecule: ribosomal RNA, 497 nt
Filed under: uncultured bacterium
Lineage: Bacteria
Description: partial 16S ribosomal RNA
Rfam family: Bacterial small subunit ribosomal RNA
Source: RNAcentral